GUUGCUGGUCGUGAGCAUUGUUUGUGCAGCUCAAGCGCCUUGUAAGCGGAUGGUCAGGGGUUCGAGUCCCCUCAGCGGCUCCG
Molecule: transfer RNA, 83 nt
Filed under: Actinopolyspora erythraea
Lineage: Bacteria; Bacillati; Actinomycetota; Actinomycetes; Actinopolysporales; Actinopolysporaceae
Description: tRNA-Thr
Source: RNAcentral